Molecule: long non-coding RNA, 1191 nt
Filed under: Ovis aries (sheep)
Lineage: Eukaryota; Metazoa; Chordata; Mammalia; Artiodactyla; Bovidae
Description: lncRNA (ENSOARG00000026167.1)
Source: RNAcentral
AUGUCUAUCACCAACUCCAGGAAUUCACUCAGACUUGAUUCCAUCGAGUCAGUGAUGCCAUCCAGCCAUCUCAUCCUCGGUCUUCCCCUUCUUCUCCUGCCCCCAAUCCCUCUCAGCAUCAAAGUAUUUUCCAAUGAGUCAACUCUUCGCAUGAGGUGGCCAAAGUACUCAAGUUUCAGCUUUAGCAUCAUUCCUUCCAAAGAAAUCCCAGGGCUGAUCUCCUUCAGAAUGGACUGGUUGGAUCUCCUUGCAGUCCAAGGGACUCUCAAGAGUCUUCUCCAACACCACAGUUCAAAAGCAUCAAUUCUUCAGCACUCAGCUUUCUUCACAGUCCAACUCUCACAUCCAUACAUGACCACAGGAAAAACCAUAGCCUUGACUAGAUGGACCUUAGUCGGCAAAGUAAUGUCUCUGCUUUUGAAUAUGCUAUCUAAGUUGCUCAUAAUUUUUCUUCCAAGGAGUAAGCAUCUUUUAAUUUCAUGGCUGCAGUCACCAUCUGCAGUGAUUUUGGAACCCAAAAAUAUAAAGUCUGACUCUGUUUCCACUGUUUCCCCAUCUAUUUCCCAUGAAGUGAUGGGACAGGAUGCCAUGAUCUUCAUUUUCUGAAUGUUGAGCUUUAAGCCAACUUUUUCAAUAUCCUCUUUCACUUUCAUCAAAAAGCUUUUUACUUCCUCUUCACUUUCUGCCAAGAGGGUGGUGUCAUCUGCAUGUCUGAAGUUAUUGAUAUUUCUUCCAGCAAUCUUGAGUCCAUCUUGUGUUUCUUCCAGUCCAGCGUUUCUCGUGAUGUACUCUGCAUAGAAGUUAAAUAAGCAGGGUGACAGUAUACAGCCUUGACGCACUCCUUUUCCUAUUUGGAACCAAUCUGUUGUUCCAUGUCCAGUUCUAACUUUUGCUUCCUGACCUGCAUACAGAUUUCUCAAGAGACAAGUCAGGUGGUCUGGUAUUCCCAUCUCUUUCAGAAUUUUCCACAGUUUAUUGUGAUCCACACAGUCAAAGGCUUUGGCAUGGUCAAUAAAGCAGAAAUAGAUGUUUUUUUCUGGAACUCUCUUGCUUUUUCCAUGAUCCAGCAGAUGUUGGCAAUUUGAUCUCUGGUUCCUCUGCCUUUUCUAAAACCAGCUUGAACAUCUGGAAGUUCACAGUUCAUGUACUGUUGAAGCCUGGCUUGGAGAAUUUUGAGCAUUACUUUACUAG